This 387-nucleotide long non-coding RNA is filed under the name Microcebus murinus (gray mouse lemur). Its description in RNAcentral is "lncRNA (ENSMICG00000048198.1)". Lineage: Eukaryota; Metazoa; Chordata; Mammalia; Primates; Cheirogaleidae. The record is from RNAcentral.
CGGGACUGCAAAGUGCAGGAGGCUGCUCCUGCGGUUAAUAACUCCCAGACCGCUGCAAGCCCCUGGGCGUUCACUUCCUCGCUGGAAUCUGGACAGUGUUAUCCCGGACAAUUCAGUCCCUGCCAGGAAGGGACAGAAAUGAAAGAAAGAAACACAGGCUGCAAACCCCUGACUCCCCAAUUUGGGACGUGAACGUGAUGAAGCCCGAUUGACUGCGUGGUUCCAGGUCUAUCCUCGGUGGUUCCAGGUCUAUCCUCGGUGGUUCCAGAUCUAUCCUUGAGACCAGCGGUUUUAAAGAGGCUCCCUGGACCACCGGCACCGGCAUGGCCUGGGAGGUGGUUGUAUAGGUAAGUCUCCAGGUCCCACCCGAGACCUACUGAGUCACAG